AUUGAACGCUGGCGGAAUGCUUUACACAUGCAAGUCGAACGGCAGCACGGACUUCGGUCUGGUGGCGAGUGGCGAACGGGUGAGUAAUGUAUCGGAACGUAUCCAAUAAUGGGGGAUAACUAGUCGAAAGAUUAGCUAAUACCGCAUACGCCCUACGGGGGAAAGCUAGGGACCUUCGGGCCUGGCGUUAAUGGAGCGGCCGAUAUCUGAUUAGCUAGUUGGUGAGGUAAAAGCUCACCAAGGCGACGAUCAGUAGCUGGUCUGAGAGGACGACCAGCCACACUGGAACGGAGACACGGUCCAGACUCCUACGGGAGGCAGCAGUGGGGAAUUUUGGACAAUGGGCGAAAGCCUGAUCCAGCCAUUCCGCGUGAGUGAAGAAGGCCUUCGGGUUGUAAAGCUCUUUCGCAAGAGAAGAAAACUUACCCUCUAACAUAGGGUGAGGCUGACGGUAUCUUGAUAAGAAGCACCGGCUAACUACGCGCCAGCCGCCGCGGUAA
Molecule: ribosomal RNA, 500 nt
Filed under: uncultured bacterium
Lineage: Bacteria
Description: partial 16S ribosomal RNA
Rfam family: Bacterial small subunit ribosomal RNA
Source: RNAcentral